UUCGAAUGAGUACAAUUUAAAUCCUUUAACGAGGAUCAACUGGAGGGCAAGUCUGGUGCCAGCAGCCGCGGUAAUUCCAGCUCCAGUGGCAUAUAUUAAAGUUGUUGCAGUUAAAAAGCUCGUAGUUGGAUCUGGGUGGAAUGGCUGUGCGCUGUUUCGCUUUCUUGGCCUGGCUCUGCCGGGUCGGUGAGUGAGUCGGUGUUGCGGUUGUUCUAUCUUUCUGCCGUGUCUGUGCAAACAGGUGCUGACUUCGGUCGGCAUGCUUCCGGAUGCCUUUCAACGGGUGUCGGGGGCGGACGGCAUGUUUACUUUGAACAAAUUUGAGUGCUCAAAGCAGGCCCGUGAGCCUGAAAAGUCUUGCAUGGAAUAAUGGAAUAGGACUUCGGUCCUAUUUUGUUGGUUUUCGGAUCCGAAGUAAUGGUUAAGAGGGACAGACGGGGGCAUUUGUAUGGCGGCGUUAGAGGUGAAAUUCUUGGAUCGUCGCCAGACAAACUACAGCGAAAGCAUUUGCCAAGGAUGUUUUCAUUGAUCUUGAGCGAAAGUCAGAGGUUCGAAGACGAUCAGAUACCGUCGUAGUUCUGACCAUAAAUGAUGCCAACUGACGAUCCGUGGUGG
This 615-nucleotide ribosomal RNA is filed under the name Paropecoelus sp. RAG1. RNAcentral's name for it is "SSU rRNA". It matches the Rfam family "Eukaryotic small subunit ribosomal RNA", at positions 509 to 1062 of the family's 1831-position model. The record is from RNAcentral. Lineage: Eukaryota; Metazoa; Platyhelminthes; Trematoda; Plagiorchiida; Opecoelidae.